GCUGGGGUUUCUCUCACAGCAGAGAUUGAACAGGAGAAUCUGGAACCAGGAGUGAGCAGAGCUGGCCCCAGGCCUUGGUGGCUGUGUACUAGUUCUGUGACCUGCAAUCAGUCACUUAACUUCUGUGAGCUCCUCUCUUUCCGUCUGUAAAAAAGGAAUAUGUACUACCCACUUCCUGAGUAGAUGUUGAAGAUGUUGUAAAAGGUUCGAGUCAACCAAUUAAAAGCAAUAGAUCACAUGAAGAUGAGUAUAUCUUCUGUUUGUUGGGACAUAAUCCAGAGAGGAUCUUUCUCCCCAGAUAUUAUGGGAUGGCCACAUUUUACAGCUGAGAGUGGUAAGUGAUCAGGUGAAGCAGAGUAAGUACCUGUGGACAGCUCCAUUGAAGUACAUGUAGCAAAAAUAGCCAUGUGUGACUUUGUACAAAAUGUCAGGUGGUCAUUUAAGGCUUCUUGGCACUGUAUAUGAGGGAGUGUUUUAAUCUUGCUGUGUUGCAUGAAGCAUUUGGGAAUUGAGAAGCAGAGUCUUGCACUGUAUGUAUGCCGGUUCUCCCACAGAAAAGAGAGGUGGCAUCAGUACUUUCUUAUCAGCUAGGAUAAUCACACAGGGGAAGUCAAAACCUUCCAAAAGCAAGGGACAGUAGCCAAGGCUUAACUUGGUAUAACAGAGAUUAUUCUUGUAUGUGUGCAAAUGCCCAGAGUGCCAGGUGAGGGGGCCGAGGGACCUGGAGCAGGUUUGUAGGAUCACACGGAUGAUCAAGGUUAGAUCAGAG
This 769-nucleotide long non-coding RNA is filed under the name Homo sapiens (human). Its description in RNAcentral is "HSALNT0167910". Lineage: Eukaryota; Metazoa; Chordata; Mammalia; Primates; Hominidae. The record is from RNAcentral.